UGCAAGUCGACGGUGAAGCCAAGCUUGCUUGGUGGAUCAGUGGCGAACGGGUGAGUAACACGUGAGCAACCUGCCCUGGACUCUGGGAUAAGCGCUGGAAACGGUGUCUAAUACUGGAUAUGAGACGUGAUCGCAUGGUCGUGUUUGGAAAGAUUUUUUGGUCUGGGAUGGGCUCGCGGCCUAUCAGCUUGUUGGUGAGGUAAUGGCUCACCAAGGCGUCGACGGGUAGCCGGCCUGAGAGGGUGACCGGCCACACUGGGACUGAGACACGGCCCAGACUCCUACGGGAGGCAGCAGUGGGGAAUAUUGCACAAUGGGCGAAAGCCUGAUGCAGCAACGCCGCGUGAGGGAUGACGGCCUUCGGGUUGUAAACCUCUUUUAGCAGGGAAGAAGCGAAAGUGACGGUACCUGCAGAAAAAGCGCCGGCUAACUACGUGCCAGCAGCCGCGGUAAUACGUAGGGCGCAAGCGUUAUCCGGAAUUAUUGGGCGUAAAGAGCUCGUAGGCGGUUUGUCGCGUCUGCUGUGAAAUCCCGAGGCUCAACCUCGGGCCUGCAGUGGGUACGGGCAGACUAGAGUGCGGUAGGGGAGAUUGGAAUUCCUGGUGUAGCGGUGGAAUGCGCAGAUAUCAGGAGGAACACCGAUGGCGAAGGCAGAUCUCUGGGCCGUAACUGACGCUGAGGAGCGAAAGGGUGGGGAGCAAACAGGCUUAGAUACCCUGGUAGUCCACCCCGUAAACGUUGGGAACUAGUUGUGGGGACCAUUCCACGGUUUCCGUGACGCAGCUAACGCAUUAAGUUCCCCGCCUGGGGAGUACGGCCGCAAGGCUAAAACUCAAAGGAAUUGACGGGGACCCGCACAAGCGGCGGAGCAUGCGGAUUAAUUCGAUGCAACGCGAAGAACCUUACCAAGGCUUGACAUAUACGAGAACGGGCCAGAAAUGGUCAACUCUUUGGACACUCGUAAACAGGUGGUGCAUGGUUGUCGUCAGCUCGUGUCGUGAGAUGUUGGGUUAAGUCCCGCAACGAGCGCAACCCUCGUUCUAUGUUGCCAGCACGUAAUGGUGGGAACUCAUGGGAUACUGCCGGGGUCAACUCGGAGGAAGGUGGGGAUGACGUCAAAUCAUCAUGCCCCUUAUGUCUUGGGCUUCACGCAUGCUACAAUGGCCGGUACAAAGGGCUGCAAUACCGUGAGGUGGAGCGAAUCCCAAAAAGCCGGUCCCAGUUCGGAUUGAGGUCUGCAACUCGACCUCAUGAAGUCGGAGUCGCUAGUAAUCGCAGAUCAGCAACGCUGCGGUGAAUACGUUCCCGGGUCUUGUACACACCGCCCGUCAAGUCAUGAAAGUCGGUAACACCUGAAGCCGGUGGCCCAAC
This 1371-nucleotide ribosomal RNA is filed under the name Microbacterium testaceum. RNAcentral's name for it is "bacterial SSU rRNA". It matches the Rfam family "Bacterial small subunit ribosomal RNA". Lineage: Bacteria; Bacillati; Actinomycetota; Actinomycetes; Micrococcales; Microbacteriaceae. The record is from RNAcentral.